GGACUACCGGGGUAUCUAAUCCCGAUCGAUACCCAUGCCUUCGUACCUUAGCGUCAGUUUUACUUAGUAACAUGCCUUCGCCUCUUCGCAACCCACAAAGUGUAAUAUUUUAACCCAAUACUAUGAGAGUUUGUUACUUCUUAUUUACUCUAGUAUAGUAAUAUCUUAUCCAUUCUAAGAUGUUAUCAAAAAGAUUUACUAUACCGCCUACGUACCCUUUAGACCCAUUAAUGACGAAUAACGCUUGCCUCACACGUAUUACCGCGGCUGCUGGCAC
This 277-nucleotide ribosomal RNA is filed under the name uncultured bacterium. RNAcentral's name for it is "partial 16S ribosomal RNA". The record is from RNAcentral.